Molecule: long non-coding RNA, 226 nt
Filed under: Vigna radiata
Lineage: Eukaryota; Viridiplantae; Streptophyta; Magnoliopsida; Fabales; Fabaceae
Description: long non-coding RNA (VRAD_LNC010017)
Source: RNAcentral
CGCUGCUUCUGAUGGCAGUAAUGAUAGAUCUACUGAGGGAUGCUAAACUUUUGGUAUCCACUGAAGGAUAUCCAGAAGGUACACCUACUGAUGGGUGGUGGAAGGUAGUGCACUUACUGACAAGUGCUAACCAGGUUUGGGUCAGGCUCGUGACGUUAAACAAGCGCUACUAGGAGAAUCAUUCUUAGGACAUGCUACAGCUUCAACCCACUUACUCACAUAAUCC